This 1258-nucleotide long non-coding RNA is filed under the name Marmota monax (woodchuck). The record is from RNAcentral. Lineage: Eukaryota; Metazoa; Chordata; Mammalia; Rodentia; Sciuridae.
CCCAGCCCCUGGAACUCUUAAUAAAUCAUUUGCUUAGAUGUUACUGUAUUGGUCAAGUUUGGUUGUGACUAACAGAGAUCCUAAAUAGCAGUGGCUUCAGAGUACAAAGUUAAAUUCUCUCCUACAUGGAGGUCUGAAGGUAGGUAAUCCAGGACAGGAAUGUGGCUCCAGAGUUGUUGGGACGCAGGCUGCUUUGGCUUUCAGAUUCUGCUAGCCCCUAAUUGUUGUCCUCUCCAGUCCCAUGGGGCACUCCACUCACACACAUUUUCUAAGUAGCAGGAGGGAUGAAACAAGGAAGAGGUAUGUCUCUGUCAUAGGCAGAAUUAUAGUACCUAAAAGCCUGAAAGAUGUCCAUUUGUAAUCACUCAAACCUGUGAAUAUGAUCUCUUAUUUGACAAAAGGGAAUUUAUGUUAGAGUCUGUAAACAAGUCAAAAUAACACCUGGCAUUUUGCCAGGGGAAUGUUAGAGUUCGUAAACAAGUCUGGAUGGUGCCUGGCAAAAUGCCAGAGGGAGUGGUUUGAGAAGUAACAAAAGUGAGCCAUUAAGUGUGGAGAUUCCUGAUUGGUUGACUGCUGUAUCUAGUUUAUGUUAAUUAGAUAAGCUGUGUGAAAUGUAUAAAUACUGCUCCUGUCCUGCAAUAAACGGGUUCCACUCCUGCUGUAUCAACUGUACACAAAUUAUUCGUCACCCCCCAGUUAUUUUGCUGCCCAACGAACUGCUGCAAAUUUACAGAUGACAUUAGGUUAGGGACCUUAAAAUGAGGAGAUUAUUUUGGGUUAUCCCCAGAGACCCUAUAUAAUCCUAAGCCCUAUAAAGCAAAGAAUAAAAAAGAGAGACAAAAGGAAAAGACAAAGAUUUUCCAAGUGUGUGUGGAAGGGUGCGGGGGGUGUCUUGCAGAGCCAUCUUGGCCUCUGAUAUGAAGAAGCCCACGUGCAAGACCUGGAGAGAGUCCCUUGGAGCAAAGGCCAGCCUGCAAGUGACAAUCAGCAAGGAAACCAGGACCUCAGGUCUCCAACCACAAGGACCUAAUUCUGUCAUGAUCUUAAUGAGUCAGGAAGCAGAUUCUUCUCAGAGUCUUCAGAUGAUAAGAGCCCAACUAACUAGCAACUUGAUUUUGACCUUGUGGAUAUGGGAUAGAGAAAUAGAGAAACCUGCUGCGCCAAGAACUUUUGACCCAUAGAAACUGAGACAAUAGGGUUGGGAAUAUACCUCAGUAGAAUACUUUCCUUGCAUGUACUAGGCCCUGGGUUCAAUCCC